UAUAUAUAUAUAUAUAUAUAUAAGAGAGAGAAGUUUUUUAAAUGGAUAAAGGUUUUUGGUCUGUUGGUGGAAACUAACUCUUGCUUUGCGUGCAUUCUGCCUCGUUCAUAAGCUGCUUUGAAAAAAAUAAAUAAAUGUGAAGUUAUUAUAAACCCUGUACUUACCUCUGGAGCUCAAACAUCCAAAACAGCAAGUUUAGCAAACGUAGCUAAUCUGGUUGUGCUAAAGUUUAAAAAUGUUUCAGCUUGUGAUAAUGAAGGAGCUGAUGUCUCGGUGUUUUACUAUAAACGACAUUUUGUCACGUUCCUUUUGUCCUAAGGGUGUGCAAACUUUUGUACUCAGCUGUACAUGUAGAAACUACAAUUGGACUUUAUUUAUUUUCUUUCUCACAGUUCCUGUACACUGCGAUCUCAACCUUGGCUCGGUGCUCACAGAACUCAAACAUGUAGAACCUAAUCAUAUUUUGUUUAUGUAUUUAUUUUUUUGAAUAUCUUUUAAAACCUUUCUCCCACUUUCUGAAAAAAACAAAAAAAAAACAACAUUGGUCAUAAAGUCUUAACGUCAGAGUCUAUUUUUUGUUCCGUUUUAAGUGUUUAAGAAGUCGAGUCUUCAAAAGAUUGCUAAGGUUAUGGAUUAUUACGGAUAAAGCAGAUUCCUGGCAAUGACCAGUCAUCUGAUCAUUCCAUAAUAUAACACUAGAAAAAUUGCUUUUAUUAAUAAUAAGUGCUUGAAAUAAAGGCAGGUUGUUGAUUGAUGUAUCCAGGCAGUCAGCUUGCUCCAUCAUCCAUAGAUGAGCUUUCGGUCUGAUUUGCUAAAUAAUACAUAUGAAGAUUAUGAAGCAUCCAUCCAUCCAUCCAUUCAUUUUCAAUACCGCUUAUUCUACACAGGGUCACAGGGAGCCUGGAGCCUAUCCCAGGGGAUCCGGGGCACGAGGCGGGGGACAACCUGAAUGGGGUGCCAAAGCAUCACAGGGCACGGUCUCACGCUAUGGAUAAUUCGGAAAUGCAAAUCAGCCUGCAACACUCGGGGAGGAAACCGGAGUACCCAGAGGAAACCUGCAAACUCCAGGGGAACAUGCAAACUCCACACACACGAGGGCAGAGGUGGGAUUUAAAGCAUGAAGUCUUUAUUUUAUUUAUUGCAUUAUUAUUAUUAUUGUUAUUAUUAUUAUUAUUAUUGCACUUGUUCUAAUACAUAAUUGUUUCUAUAGCAACAGCUCAUACACAAGGACUUGUAAGGACUUGUACAGCGGACGCUCCACGUGAUGUAAAAUAAUCAUGCAUAGAUUUAAAAACAUGGUCUCAUUUAACCGAGAAAAACGUAUGAUUGUUGAUGUGAAGGUUUUUUCGUUGCUGUUGUUUUAAGAGACGUUUAUGUCACAACAUGUGUCAGUGCUUUGUGCCAGUCAUGGUGCUUCUGGGUUCUGUGUUAAGUUAAACGUUGUAAUGGUUACUACGGAUCAGGCCGUAUCACACCACCCCAGUGUGGAUUACUGUAGUAUAAACCACACCGUCUGUCAUGUUAUUCUGUCCUUCCUUAUUUUAUUUCAGAUUGUUUUUUGUUUUGUUUUCAAUAUAUAUUUUGAAUUUUAGAGAUGGUAUUUUUGUUUGCCUAGAUUAAAACCAGCUGUGUAAACUAGCUAGUUGCGAGUUGAAUUGGAAUAAUUGUGAAUAUUUUGGUUUUGGGUCAUACAGACACUUUUAUAAUAGGCGUUCAUCCUGUAAUAGUGAGUGUUAUAGCGGUAGUGUGUUCGAGUGGGUAAACACGUCUAUUGUUUUGAGAAGUUUAUAUAACUCCAGCCCGGACAAGCCUGUGCUAAAAGGGAAUUUAGCGAUUAGUCUCUGACUUGCAACGUUCCAGUUUUCCCUCAUAGGAGUUCAUGACCUUAGUGACGUUUUAAAACCAUGUUUAUCAGAUUGUGCAAGAACAAUGAGUGUAUUGUGUGUAUUAACUUGGCACUCGGAACUGUCAGAUUAAUCCCCGUAGUGGAAAAGGCCACAGUGCAACCCAGUUAAAAAAUAUCUUGCAGUGGCGUUUUUCUACCAGAAGAGGCAGGAUUCUAAAACUUUACAUAAAUCAGCUGUAAAAAAUAAAGUGCCCAAAGUGCGUACUAACAAUAAACUUUGUCUUGUAGCGGUGAUCGUGUCAGUGUUGUUGACUCUUUAAACCUCAAAAGGCCCUAAAAAGAGAGACUAGAUUUGAAUUAACAUCAUUUGACCUCUUGCUUAUGUUGCUAUGAAUGCAGAGUGAUUGACAGCCAAAACUGUACCGUCGCUAUGCGUGCCACACGGGUAAAUCUCAACCUGCGUUGCCUGGCGAGUGAACGACAAUAAGCUGGCUGUCAUCCGAGUCAAACAAAACCGCGUAACCCGAGACCAAGGAGGAACGCUGUUCUGUAGUCAUAGGAAUCAUCUCCCCUCCUUCCACAACAGUGCCGAAGCAACACUACUUUACUCAUGACUUCAAACGCUUAGGCUCCAGAAACCUCCUGCCGUCAAACAUCAUCAGACUGCCAGAGUUUGAAGACGUCUUGCAUGACAUAUAAGUUUUUGUUGACUCGUUCAUCUUCUAACCCUGUUCAGGACAGCAAGAGCUUCUCUCAGAGUGCACCAUGGGGUGUAGCGCGAGUAAAUCCCUUAAAGUCGUAAAGGUCGCAGAAACCAUCGGGGAUGCCGACGAGAACGUCGACUCGAAGGGGUCGGACGAUGGAGAUGCGAACUCGAAAGCAGGGGACGAUGCCGACGACGCCGGGAACGACGAGAGCUGAUGACGUUUCUCCUGCACGCGUUACUUUUAAGACUCCAUAAAGUUCUCCACACCUGGAGGAUGAUCCUGGAUCCACUCAGAUCCAGAAGAUCCUGGAUCCCCAAGACCUAUAGAUGCAGUCCAGUACAAAAUUUUGCACCACCCCCCUUUUCCCAUUUUACAACAAUUACAGUGUACCUAGGUUUUAGAAAGAAAGAGAAUUUGAAGAAGUUAAAUAUGAAAUGUGGGUGUAUCCUGCAACAAGACAACAGGAUAAAUCAACAGAAAUCUAUUUUUGAAAAGAAGUGAAGAAGGCAGAGGUUGACGUCGGUGUGUGGUGAAUGUUACUAUUAGAAUUUAAAACCUCAAAAAAGGAUGCGAAAGAUGUAGAAGGGAAAUGCUGGGCAUACAUGCCUAGGAGACAUAUUUAAGAGGGGAGAUGAAAACUUUUGAACUGAUAUAAUUUGCACUCUUUUCACUUUUAAUAUCCCAACACAGUGUGACCAUUUUUCUGAUUUGAGUCUCAAUAACAAAGAAGCAUUUUUUUUUUAAAAACAUAACUCCAAAUAUCUUGUGUUAAAUGUGUUAAAUUGUCUAGACGUGCUACACCUAGUGUCUAAAUGCUCAAUUAGCCAAAAUAAAUAAUCGACAUUGAAAAAACCAAAUGUGUUCUAUUAUCUUAUAACGAGAAUCCAGCUGUUAUCAGUUAUGUAAUAAUAAAAGCAAUAUUGUUAGCAUUCCUUCCCCCUUCUCAAAUCACUACAUGAAAACAUGGACAUUUAGUAUAUGAUGAAUUAUUGAUAAAUGAGUUUUGGUGAAAUUAGUUUUUGAUUAAAAGUGCACGACAAGCCUGCAUUACUUCCACUGUCCACCAGGUGUCUCCAGAACUCUUGUUUUACUGACAAAACCACCAGCAGAGGGCAACAUCGCUCCACCACAAUCCUGCAAACUUUCCUCCCUCUACAGAACAGUAAAUCUGCUUGAAUUUCAUGGUUUAGAUUUAUUAGCAGAGACACGAUCGAGCUCGAAUGAAACAACC
Molecule: long non-coding RNA, 3784 nt
Organism: Ictalurus punctatus (channel catfish)
Lineage: Eukaryota; Metazoa; Chordata; Actinopteri; Siluriformes; Ictaluridae
Source: Ensembl